UGAAUACGAGACGCUAAGGCGUCGAAGUAGUGUAUGUCAUACUUCCAAGAAAAGCUUGCACUGUCAUAGAUAAAAAACGCCUGUACCAUAACCGACACAGGUGGGUAGGUAGAGUAUACUAAGGGGCGCGAGAUAACUCUCUCUAAGGAACUCGGCAAAAUAACUCCGUAACUUCGGGAGAAGGAGUGCCUUAUUUAUAAGGCUGCAAUAACAAGAUCCAAGCAACUGUUUAUCAAAAACACAGGUCUCCGCUAAGUCGUAAGACGAUGUAUGGGGGCUGACGCCUGCCCAGUGCCAGAAGGUUAAAGAAGUUGGUUAGCUUUUGCGAAGCUGAUAACUGAAGCCCUGGUGAACGGCGGCCGUAACUAUAACGGUCCUAAGGUAGCGAAAUUCCCUGUCAGGUAAGUUCCGACCCGCACGAAAGGCGUAAUGAUUUGGAUACUGUCUCGGAGAGGGGCUCGGUGAAAUAGACUUGUCUGUGAAGAUGCGGACUACCUGCACCAGGACAGAAAGACCCUAUGAAGCUUUACUGUAACUUGAAAUUGAAAUUGGACUUUAUUCGCGCAGCAUAGGUGGGAGGCGUUGAUUAUAAUCUCGUGGGAUUAUUGGAGCCAUCAGUGAGAUACCACUCUUGUAAUAUUAGAUUUCUAACUUUGAAUCAUUAUCUGGUCAAAGAACAGUUUCAGGCGGGCAGUUUGACUGGGGCGGUCGCCUCCUAAACGGUAACGGAGGCGUACAAAGGUUUCCUCUGAACAGUUAGAAAUCGUAUCUAGAGUGUAAAGGCAUAAGGAAGCUUGACUGUGAGACCUACAAGUCGAGCAGGGACGAAAGUCGGUCUUAGUGAUCUGACGGUACUGAGUGGAAAGGCCGUCACUCAACGGAUAAAAGUUACUCUAGGAUAACAGGCUGAUCUCCCCCAAGAGUUCACAUCGACGGGGAGGUUUGGCACCUCGAUGUCGGCUCAUCGCAUCCUGGGGCGGUAGUACGUCCCAAGGGUUGGGCUGUUCGCCCAUGAAAGCGGUACGCGAGCUGGGUUCAGAACGUCGUGAGACAGUUCGGUCCAUAUCCGGUGUAGGCGUUAGAAUAUUGAGAGGAGCCUUCUUUAGUACGAGAGGACCGAGAAGGACAUACCUCUGGUGUACCAGUUAUCGUGCCAACGGUAAACGCUGGGUAGCUAUGUAUGGAGUGGAUAACCGCUGAAAGCAUCUAAGUGGGAAGCCCACCACAAGAUAAGUAUUCUCAUCA
This 1245-nucleotide ribosomal RNA is filed under the name metagenome. RNAcentral's name for it is "bacterial LSU rRNA". It matches the Rfam family "Bacterial large subunit ribosomal RNA", at positions 1564 to 2819 of the family's 2925-position model. The record is from RNAcentral.